GUUUUAUUGUGGACAUGUAAAUUUCUCUGAGCCAUUCUUGCUCCUUAAACAUAUAAAAAUGUUUUAGUUAUGUGUGUUUAAUGGUUGAAUCUACACCUUGCAUGUAUUGCUUAACCAGUAUUCUUUACAAAAGAUAACAUUCAUAAACCAAGUAGGUCUUAUUUCCUGAUUUAACAUUGUUUCAGCAUAUACACCUUCUUGCUGUGUAAACUUGCACACCUUGCCACAGCUACUUCAUUUCGUUUUAUAUUUGGAAUUUCAAAGCUUAAGGAGUCAACGAUUCUAAAAGCCAUUCUUUGAUACCAAACACUUUAUUGAUGAUCAUUUAAUUAAAAACAAACAUAUGUGGUAUAAUUAUACAUGUUUUAGUUUAUAGUCAUGGUGCAAGAAAAAAACAGCAUCAGACAGACUUCAGACGUCUCUUCAUUCAGCUCCUUGUCAUUAUGGUUUGCCUUUGCCAUCCUUUCCAUCCUUUCCAGGUCCGUGACCGUGUCCGUGACCGUGACCAUGACCAUGACCAUGUCCGUGACCAUGACCCUUGCCUUGCCCUUGUCCUGGUCCUUUUCCCUUGCCUUCACCUUUGCCUUCACCCUUGCCUUCACCCUUGCCUUCACCCUGGCAUUGUUUGCUCUUAUCGCACUGCAGAAGAAAUAUACAUGAGUGUCAUAUUUUUAAAGCAUAUAAUGCUAUUGUUACAUAUGUAUAUUAUAUGUACAGUACACAUGCAUAUCAUUAGCACAUAUGUCGGAAAGAAGAAAAGAAGUGUAGCUGUUACCUGAGGGGUUUUAUCUUUCCAUGUAAAAAGAGAAAACAGAGCACAUAUUUUAGACUGAAUAAACAAAAUUAUCUUUUAGAAAUAGUUAUAGAACAUAGAAAAAAAGUAUAUAUAUAUAUAUAUAUAUAUAUAU
Long non-coding RNA from Ictalurus punctatus (channel catfish), 908 nucleotides. The record is from Ensembl. Lineage: Eukaryota; Metazoa; Chordata; Actinopteri; Siluriformes; Ictaluridae.